Molecule: ribosomal RNA, 467 nt
Filed under: uncultured bacterium
Lineage: Bacteria
Description: partial 16S ribosomal RNA
Rfam family: Bacterial small subunit ribosomal RNA
Source: RNAcentral
GACGAACGCUGGCGGCGUGCUUAACACAUGCAAGUCGAACGGAAAGGCCUCUUUCGGGGGGUACUCGAGUGGCGAACGGGUGAGUAACACGUGAGUAACCUGCCCUUGACUUUGGGAUAACUUCAGGAAACUGGGGCUAAUACCGGAUAGGAGCUCCUGCUGCAUGGUGGGGGUUGGAAAGUUUCGGCGGGUGGGGAUGGACUCGCGGCUUAUCACCUUGUUGGGGGGGUAGUGGGUUACCAAGGCUUUGUCGGGUAGCCGGCCUGAGAGGGUGACCGGCCACAUUGGGGCUGAGAUACGGCCCAGACUCCUACGGGAGGGAGCAGUGGGGGAUAUUGCACAAUGGGUGGGAGCCUGAUGCAGCAAAGCCGUGGGCGGGGUGACGGGCUUCGGGUUGUAAACCGCUUUCGCUCAUGACGAAGCUUUGUGUGACGGUAGUGGGUAAAGAAGCACCGGCUAACUACGUG